This 277-nucleotide unclassified non-coding RNA is filed under the name uncultured fungus. RNAcentral describes it as "sequence contains ITS2". Lineage: Eukaryota; Fungi. The record is from RNAcentral.
AACGCACAUUGCGCCCAUUAGUAUUCUAGUGGGCAUGCCUGUUCGAGCGUCAUUUCAACCCUCAGCGCCCUCCCUUUCGGGGAAGGGACUGGUGUUGGGGCCCUUGCCUCACCGGCAAGCCCCGAAAAGCAGUGGCGGGCCCCCCGGGACUCCGAGCGCAGUAGUUUACACCUCGCUAUGGAGCGCCUGGCGGGCGACACCGGCCGUUAAAAGCGCUGGAGACAGCAUUUUUUACAAGGUUGACCUCGGAUCAGGUAGGAAUACCCGCUGAACUUAA